AUCCCGGUAGCACAAUGGAAAGCGCGUUGGACUUUUAAUCCAAAUACCGUGGGUUCUAAUCCCACCUGGGAUG
Molecule: non-coding RNA, 73 nt
Organism: Trichonephila clavipes
Lineage: Eukaryota; Metazoa; Arthropoda; Arachnida; Araneae; Nephilidae
Source: the annotation of a GenBank genome assembly